Kogia breviceps (pygmy sperm whale) is the source of this 1862-nucleotide non-coding RNA. The record is from RefSeq and is a predicted model, not a curated record. Lineage: Eukaryota; Metazoa; Chordata; Mammalia; Artiodactyla; Physeteridae.
UGAGGUCAGUGCGGUGGAGUUGCAGGAGCUGCGCGUGCGGAGGAGCUAUGGAGCUGACCCCGGGAGCCAGGAGCAUGAGGACCUGGAGUCUGUGUCAGAUUUGUACCUCCGGGUCGGAUUCUCGUCCUUAUGAAAUAGUCAAACAGCCUCGCCAUGCACCAGAAGAAUAUAAACCAAAGCAGGGGGAGAUUGAUCUUGGUACUACCUACAAAUGGCAUCUUAAUUCUUGUAAAGUGCAGCGUGUGGCAAUAGCUCGGCCUUUGGAGAGACAAGUUAAAAAAGGGAAGUUGGAUACUGUCCCGACCUAUAAAGAUUUCAAGGCAUCUGCAUAGUGUACCCUGAGUCAAGUUUUGGUUGGCAGUGUCAAGAUGGCUGCACUGCUCCUCGCUGUGUUCAAGUUAGAAAGAGGCAUUGUGGUGUGACAAGUAAAGGCUCUGUGGCUUGGGAAUCAAAGCACCUGUGUUCAAGUUUCAAUGACACCAGUUUCUACUUGUGCCAUCCUAGGGGUAUGUGUUAGCAGCUCUGAAACUACAUGUAUAAUAAGGUCAAACCAAGAAAAUAUAUUGCAGAUAAUGAAAGCCAGGCUUCUCCCUGUCAGAGAAAGAAGUUGACAAACAAGAAAAAGUUCUCUGAGAGCAAGGACAAGAUGCCAUUCCCCCAGGAUGCCUGGAUCAGUCAGGGUCACAAGCCUGUCCAGAGCGAUUGUCUCCUUUUCACAGACUAAACAACUCUAAGUUGCAUUCACAUCAAAGCAGCUAAUCUCCUGAUGUCCCAAGAUACCACAUCCGUUCAGAACAGCCCUGUGGGCGAGACCCUGACAAGGUUGGCUCCAUGCGGUCCGGUUUGCACAAGGCUUCGGGGUGGUCACGGUACCUGAGAGGGGUACGUACUAUCACAGGAAGGCCCCAGGCAGUGCCGCCAGGAAGAGGGUUUCUUCCCCGGUUCGCGGCAUCUCUCAGCCACCGUCUUGCAGCUCCUCGUGUGGACACAGUCCACCUUCCGAGACUGGAAGCUCUGACCACAGGCUGACGUACAGGGUCUCCAAGGGCCUGCGCGCCAACAUGCGUCACAAGCCCCCGACGAGCAGUUCCUCCAAAAGGUGGGUCUGAAAUGAGAAAAACAAACAAAAAAGUGGACAACAGGAGAAAGUGGGGUGUCACUUCUUGCUGGGAUCAAGCCUUUUACUGUACUGUACUUUCCGUAUAGCAAAGGCUUGACAAUUCGGACCUUAUUCAACAGGAAACUCAUCUGCAUUGCUCCUGGCUGACUAAGCAAAGUGGUGGAGGAAUCACAACCUCAGUAGAGGCGAGCAAACCACGUGUUUCCAUGAGCCUCCAGCACCACAUCAAGGCACGCACCUCAAAAGACACAGUCUCCUGAUGAGCUGGAGCAGAUCGAUUUAGGCAAGGAAGAGAAGAAUGACACAUUUGUUAACAAACUAAGACAGGGCCGGUGGGAAGUCAGAAGAAACUAUGUAGCUUCCUAAACAUGAAAGAUGAGAGAGGCACAAGGAGCUAGAGACCAAGGCAGAUGCUGAAACUCAGGAGGCUGGUCAUUGAGGAUGCAGCGAAAGAGUGCAAGGAUUUUAAACAAGAGAACAUUGAAACCUAUUGUCCAAGCUUUAUAUUCAAGGAUGCUGCCAGGAGAUGGAGGGGACUCCUAAGAUGACACUUGUUCUACUGCCUCUCUUCUGGUAUGAUGACUGUGACACAUGUGAAUCGAAGUAAGUGAAUUUUCUGUAGCAAUGCCUCAUACUCAACUCAGCAACUUCCUUACAACUCUUCUUUGAGCCACAAUUUUUCAAAUACCGAAGUAAAGGAUAAAAUACCUGUUCUAAAAUAUUCUUAAGGUGAGAACAGGCC